GUCAUCUCCUCGUUUGGGAGCUUGGUUGGCAUCUCAACAGGAAGGUUUUCUCAUUUUGGUGGAACAUUUUGGCAUCUAGCAGGGGUUUUCUCCUCGUUUUGGAGAUCUUUUGGCACCUUCUGCUUGAGGUUAUCCUCGUUUUGGUGCCUCUUUGGCACUUUUCACCCUGUUGCUCCUUGUUUUGGUGUUUUUUGGCAUCUACCUGAGGUUGCUCCUUGGUUUGGUGCCACUUUGGCACCUUCUCCCUAAGGUUUUCUCC
Molecule: long non-coding RNA, 259 nt
Organism: Pezoporus occidentalis (night parrot)
Lineage: Eukaryota; Metazoa; Chordata; Aves; Psittaciformes; Psittacidae
Exons: 3
Source: RefSeq, a predicted model, not a curated record